CUUGGUCAUUUAGAGGAAGUAAAAGUCGUAACAAGGUUUCCGUAGGUGAACCUGCGGAAGGAUCAUUAAAGAAUCGCCCCGUUUUUUAUAGAUGGGUUCUAUUCCCAAACCGUGUAUACAUUACCUUUGUUGCUUUGGCAGGCCGCCUCCGGGCGUCGGCUUCGGCUGAUUAGUGCCUGCCAGAGGACCCAAACUCGUUUGUUUAGUGAUGUCUGAGUACUAUAUAAUAGUUAAAACUUUCAACAACGGAUCUCUUGGUUCUGGCAUCGAUGAAGAACGCAGCGAAAUGCGAUAAGUAAUGUGAAUUGCAGAAUUCAGUGAAUCAUCGAAUCUUUGAACGCACAUUGCGCCCCUUGGUAUUCCGAGGGGCAUGCCUGUUCGAGCGUCAUUGCAACCCUCAAGCAUUGCUUGGUAUUGGAUGCCACUGCUGUGGUGCAUCUCAAAAGUAUUGGCGGUGGCAUUCAGCUUCUAGCGUAGUAAAUCUUCUCGCCUUGGAGUUUGAGUGUCUAACUGCCAGAACCCCUAAAUUUAUCAAAGGUUGACCUCGGAUCAGGUAGGGAUACCCGCUGAACUUAAGCAUAUCAAUAAGCGGAGGA
RNAcentral lists this ribosomal RNA (596 nucleotides) under uncultured Chloridium. Its description in RNAcentral is "eukaryotic LSU rRNA". The stretch from base 235 to 388 matches the Rfam family "5.8S ribosomal RNA". The record is from RNAcentral. Lineage: Eukaryota; Fungi; Ascomycota; Sordariomycetes; Chaetosphaeriales; Chaetosphaeriaceae.